AUAUAUCAUAUACAUGUAUAUCAGUUUACUUUAUAAGGCUGUUCCUAAAGACGGCAAGCUAAUUGUUAAAAAGCUAUACUUCUUAGCAUAUUUGAUUCUACUCGGCCAUUUCCGCAAGCGACAAAUAGUUAUUUGUCACUUGCGGAAAUGGUCGAGUAGAUACGACUGAGGUAGAAUUUACGAACAACAACAACAAAAAAAUCGCAGAGGGCUACAUUAUUGCAGUUACCUUAAAGUCUGAUUAAAAUCAGACCCCAUACUCAUUAUCAUAUCGUUGGGGUCUGACAGGGAUCGUAUAAAGGUCAUAUUCUGGUUACCUCUUCAUUAUCCAAUCAAAUCGUCACUUCCCCGACGCUGGAAGUCCAGGAACAGUACCACAGUUUGUUUGUCUUUUUCGGAACGCUUCCAAAUCGUCGUUCAUCAUAACCUCGCACUUAAUAACCGACGGUAACAGAAUGGCAAUGGCCGCUGCCAGUGUGAUUGACGCUCGAUUUUUGAUUACUGGUAUAUAUAUGUUUUAAUUUAUUUAUUAGAUAUUGUGAUUGAAGAUCGAUGUUUGAGUAUAUGUUCCCAAGCUUAACAUUACGGAUGCAGGUAUUCUAACACCUCGGCGCAUAUACUAUAAAGCAAAUAUAUGUGUGCUUUGUGGUUUCGCGUUUGUGCAAUCAGAGAUAACUUCAACAGUGGAAACGAUUGAAAGAAAUCUAUUUAAUAAAAAGCUGAAAUUAACAGACGAUAAAGUCAAAUAGCUCCAGCAAUGGUGUUUGUAAAAAUUGUUAUAGAACUGUUGAAAGGAUACGGUAAUUAAGAUAAAAAAGGAAGUGGAACAGCUACAAACAGAAAUACAUGUAUCAAGAUCCAGAUCAUCGGUUAGGACAAAAUACCAGUCGGCAACACCAUCCCCUACAAAAUCAAAAAUUGAAAAAAGACUGCGAAUAUCACCAGAAAAAAACUGUGAAAAGACCAUUUCCGUCAUCAUUUAAGAAAGUUACAGUUGUAAACAUUCCACCAAUACCAACAAUUUUGCCCAAAACGGAAAAGAAUGAGCCAGUAUGUAAGCCAGUGAGUGUAAGAAGAUCUCUGCCAAUUUCAACUGUUGAGAAUGUUCAAGAUAAGACAGAUAGUUCACUGAAAGGAGAAGUUGGAAAGUUAACAGAAGACUGAGGUGGAGGAACAUGAAGAACAGGGCGGCAGUCGUCAGGUGUAAGCAAAUCAUUUAUAGACAGGACAGAGGAUGAAACUCGCAUGAAUCUCCGGAAAGAACUGAUGACAUCGCAGAGAAUGUGGAAGUGCAUGGAUGUAAGGGACGACUUUGAUUUGUAAUUGUUGAACUGCGCAAUGAACGCUUCUUUUGACUCGAUAAAUUUCUGUGAUUGGUUUUCAACGACGCCUCGCUUCGAUGUCUCGAUAUAAACUUGGAAACCGACAUCACCUCACGGCUGCUGUGGCACGGAGGCAGUGCGAUUCCGCAUCACCGAUGACCAGGUUGUAGUUGUAGCAUACGAAAUUUUAGACAUGCAUUAGCAAGACAUCGUUUUACAGAAAUGCUUUUAUCAAUCAUUGAUGAAAGUCCACGGCUUGGAAUACAAAUAAAAUCAUAAAUACAUUU
Molecule: long non-coding RNA, 1609 nt
Organism: Ostrea edulis (European flat oyster)
Lineage: Eukaryota; Metazoa; Mollusca; Bivalvia; Ostreida; Ostreidae
Exons: 2
Source: RefSeq, a predicted model, not a curated record